RNAcentral lists this ribosomal RNA (713 nucleotides) under Francisella tularensis. RNAcentral's name for it is "partial 23S ribosomal RNA". It matches the Rfam family "Bacterial large subunit ribosomal RNA", at positions 662 to 1376 of the family's 2925-position model. Lineage: Bacteria; Pseudomonadati; Pseudomonadota; Gammaproteobacteria; Thiotrichales; Francisellaceae. The record is from RNAcentral.
GGAUCCGUAGCGAAAGCGAGUUUUAAUAGGGCGACUAGUCGCUAGGAGUAGACCCGAAACCGGCGCGAUCUAUCCAUGGCCAGGUUGAAGAUUAGGUAGUACUAAUUGGAGGACCGAACCCAAUACUGUUGCAAAAGUAUGGGAUGAGCUGUGGAUCGGAGUGAAAGGCUAAUCAAGCACGGAGAUAGCUGGUUCUCCCCGAAAACUAUUUAGGUAGUGCCUCGUGUAUAACUCAUUGGGGUAAAGCACUGUUUCGACAAUGGGGGUUUUACGACCUUACUGACUCGAUGCAAACUCAGAAUACGAUGAAGUUCGAUCACGGGAGACACACUGCGGGUGCUAAGGUCCGCAGUGGAAAGGGAAACAGCCCAGACCGCCAACUAAGGUCCCAAAGUCAUAGCUAAGUGGGAAACGAAGUGGGAAGGCCCAGACAGCCAGGAGGUUGGCUUAGAAGCAGCCACCCUUUAAAGAAAGCGUAAUAGCUCACUGGUCGAGUCGGCCUGCACGUAAGAUUUAACGGGGCUAAGCUAUGCACUGAAGUUGCGGAAUAUAUUUAGUAUAUUGGUAGGGGAGCGUUCUGUAAGCCGAUGAAGGUGAAUUGAGAAGUUUGCUGGAGGUAUCAGAAGUGCGAAUGCUGACAUGAGUAACGUAAAAUAAGUGAGAUUCUUAUUGGCCGAAAACCCAAGGGUUCCUACGCAAUGUUAAUCAACGUA